UUUGGAAUAUUUAGGGCUAAGUUCUUAGUUUUUGACAUCAUAAAAAUGUCAAAGUAUUCUGUUCUAAGAGCCAUUUCAAACAACUGACUAGAAUUUCAGAGCAAUUACAUGAGAGUAAUACCAUUAAAAUGUUUAAAUUACCCAUAGUCCUAUAUCCCUAACAAGUAUGUUCACGCUUGCAUGUCCUCUUCUCAUCUUUACUGUGUGCAUACUUAGUAAUGGCACGUAGACAUUGUUUAAGCAGGAAUAAUUCUCGAGAUAAUUUUGUAUGUUUCCUUUUUUCUUUUUAAGGUAGGUAUUGGGUGGAGGAGCAUUAUAUUUGCAACUUCUCGCAAAACACGUGAUUAUUUUCUUAUAAUAUUCAAUUUUCACCCUCAAUACAGUGUUUUGAUUAUGUAAGUUAGACAGAAAGUAGAAGGUUCUCUUAGAGAAAUUUUAGUGUUUUUUUUCAUAGCUCCUACUUUCAAGAAUGAAAAAGGUAAACCAGUAAAAUGACACUGUACUUGGUGCUGCAUCUAUGCUGGGAUAGGCAUUAAGAGUGACCUUUAUUUAAGGUUCUAAUUUGCUCAUGUUGGGCACUUAGAACGUCAGUUUGUUGCUUUUUGUGAGAUUUUGGAAAUGGUCCAAUUUUACUUUUUCCCCUUGACUCCAGACUUUUUAACACUGAUCUGCUGCUGUUGAGGCAUAUGCCGUUUUGUUAGGCCUCCUCAAGUGGGAAUCAGGAAUGCUGCUGUGUUCCAGAGAGGUUUUGUUCUUCCUGUAGGGCUGAAGCAGUGCCUACUCAAUAGAACCAGUCAUCGUGCAAAGACAUGCCACCUGACUCAAAGGCAAAGCCAGAGUGCAGCUUGGAGCAAAGAAGUUUGUGUUGAAGGAGAAACUAACAACGAAAAUGGACUUGUUGACGGAAGAAAAGUAGGAAUGCAGCCUCUGGUGCUGUUUGAGUGAUCCCUCUGCCCCAGGCCUGGCUGCGCGCUGCUGUGUUCUGGAAAGGCGCAUUGUGCCCUCGCUGUGGCAGGUAAGAGUCCUGUACAGGUGCUCUGCCCACUUUACCUUUCAGGCUUCUGUAUCAGCUGUUUUUCCCUUGUAGAAUGUGCCCCUGACCUGUGCCCCUGACUUCCACCCCUUAACCCUGCCCAAUACAUCUUUACAUGUCUGACCAUCAAGACUCUUCUGGGUCAUAUUCAGUUCAUGCUGAUAUUUUCCCUUCCUCCCCUCUUUAGUCCUUACUAUUUUUGCUUUGGUCAUGUUAUGCUAUAUUCUGUAAGCCUUUAAAAAUUUUGUUGUAUCAUGGCAGGGGAGAAUAUUUUAUAAUUAUGCUUUGUGCGUUUUAUCUUCCACUCAAUGAAUGCUUGGUAAAUAUUUGUUUUAUUGAGUAUAUGACCCUUUUCUAGCUAUACCGUGAACAAAAAUGUUAACUGCCUUGUACGUUAACUGCUAAGAAUUUGUCAAAAGUGCAGAGAUGACAUCCAGAACUUGUCAGAAUAUUACAAAAAGGUCUCUAAGGGCAUGAUGGAGGUCUGUAAAUUGACUUCAUGUGAAAGAGUGUAAGAAGUGAAAAUGUGAAGCAUGACUGGAGAGCCGGAGUGAUAAAGCAAGGGUCCCUUUCUCUAGAUCCUUUGUAACAGUGUCAUGUGACCUCUUCUAGAUCAUUCUGAAAGACAAUGCCAGCUCGGAACCUAGGAAAGCAUCCAGUGGGUUUCUGCAUGUUAGGUGGUUCAAAUCCUCAUUAGCACCUUUGUUUUCUCUGCCUCAGUUUGCUUACAGUGAUGUUCUCAGUAGCUGUAAUUGCUGUCUGUCUUUGAAUAUUUAAGCAUUUUUUUUUUUUAGAUCACAGGGUAUAUGUGCAUUUUUAUUUUACCAAGUGUUAGAAUUUUUACUCUGCCUUUGUGGGCUCUGGGUUAGCUACUUGGCUGUUUCAUCGUAAAAUGAUUAGCAGGAAAAACUGUGUGUGUGUGUGUGUGUGUGUGUGUGUGUGUGUGUGUGUGUGCACGUGUGUAUUUUAAGUUUCUUAAUUGGGUUGGUACAUGUAAACCAUUUAGAACAGUGCCUGCUGCAUAUCACAUCCCCAUCAGUAUUCACGUCUCUCAUAUUCUACCCUCACACUUGAUUGAUAGUUUGCUUGAUUACGUAUUUCUAGGUUGAGGAUAAUUUUACCUUAGAAUUUCAAAGUCUGUGCUGUUGUCUUCUAACCAGUCGUGGUGGCGAAGCCUCAUGCCAUCCUGAGUUUCACUUGUUUAUGCAUGACUUUCUCCCUGGAAGCUUUUAGGAGUUUGUCUUUUCCUUGGUGAGCUGAAAUAGCACAACAGUGUACUUAGUGUGGGUCUUUUUUCAUUCAUUAUGCUGGGUACACCAAAUGAACAGGCCUAUGGAUAGGCUCUUUCAAAGUUGGAGUCUUGAAUCUUGUCAUAUUUUUGUUGUUAACUUUCUCUUUUCCAUUUUAUUUGUUCAUUUGGAAGUGUCUGUUAAUUGGAUUUGAGACCUCUUGUCUUGAGUCUUAUAUCUCACGUUAUUUCUAAAUGUUUUUUAAAUUUUCAGUUCUGGAAUAUUUUCUUAUCUUUCGACUUUCAGGAAAUUUUAUUUGGACUGUCAUAACUUUAAGUUUUGUUUUGGUUAUUUAUUGUUGCUUAACCAAUUAUCCCAAAACUUAAUGGCCUAAAACUACACAUCUGUCUAUCUGUCACGACUGUAUGGAUUACCUGGGGCUAGCUGGACAGUUUUUCUGCUGGUCUCAUUUGGCAGCUCUCACUGUGUGGUUAAACAGUGUCAGGGACUGGUCAUCUGGAUGCUCAGCUGCAGUGGAAUGUCUGAGACGGCUUCUUUACCCACAGGUCUGCUGCCUUGGUAAUUCUUGAUGUGGCCUUUCUCUCUGCAUAGCAUCUCAUCCUCUCGGAUCUCUUCAUGUGGCUUUUCUUUCUCCAAGAAGGUAGCCAAUUCUUAUUUUUGGCUUCCAGAAGCACAGAAAUGGAGCUGCCAGGAGUUCUUAAGGCUUAGACCUGGAACAGGUCCAGUGUCAUUUCUACCACAUGCUAUAGGUUAAAGUGAGUGUUGGGGCCAACCCAGAUUGACUAUGGGAUGGGCCUGUCUGAGGACAUGAUGACAGGAGGUAUGGCUCAUUGGAGACCAACUCCCAAGAUGGAGCAUGAGUUCUAAGAACUUUUUCUUCUCUGAUUAUUUCUUAUUCAUAUUGUUUUGUUUUAUACAUGUAAUAUAUUCACAAGUGUCUUUAUGAAGUGAUUUUGAUACUC
Molecule: long non-coding RNA, 3245 nt
Filed under: Homo sapiens (human)
Lineage: Eukaryota; Metazoa; Chordata; Mammalia; Primates; Hominidae
Description: HSALNT0218199
Source: RNAcentral